Molecule: non-coding RNA, 31 nt
Filed under: Homo sapiens (human)
Lineage: Eukaryota; Metazoa; Chordata; Mammalia; Primates; Hominidae
Source: RNAcentral
UCCAUGGUGACCACAAGGAGAUUUUCUGCCC